UACGUAGGGGGCAAGCGUUGUCCGGAUUUAUUGGGCGUAAAGAGCGUGUAGGCGGUCAGGUAGGUCCGUUGUGAAAACCCGAGGCUCAACCUCGAGACGCCGAUGGAAACCAUCUGACUAGAGUCCGGAAGAGGAGAGUGGAAUUCCUGGUGUAGCGGUGAAAUGCGCAGAUAUCAGGAAGAACACCCGUGGCUAAGACGGCUCUCUAGUACGGUACUGACGCUGAGACGCGAAAGCGCGGGGAGCGAACAGG
This 253-nucleotide ribosomal RNA is filed under the name uncultured bacterium. Its description in RNAcentral is "partial 16S ribosomal RNA". It matches the Rfam family "Bacterial small subunit ribosomal RNA", at positions 524 to 776 of the family's 1533-position model. The record is from RNAcentral.